AAAUAAGAGAAUGUAAUUUUGAAGUAACAAGUCUCAACUCAAGAUUAUGAAUGAAUAGAAAUAGUAUAACAAGGCGGGAUAGGACCUUUAUUGGGACUCCGGGACCGGGUGUUUUUAAGCUCGGGAUUACGGGAUUGACCCUUUUGGGAUCCGGGAUUUCGGGAUUUAAAUUUAUUUAAAUUCGUGACCACGGGAUUUUGUGUUUUUAAGCCCGGGAUUUCGGUAUUUGGACCCCUCCUUCCCGCCUCCCUCUAUUACGGUUGAAGAAAAGAGGCCAGUAAAGUUUUGUGACAUUUGUAACUGCAAUUUAAUAUUUAGUGGAAUGAGAGGUGAAAUGUGUUCAGAC
This 346-nucleotide long non-coding RNA is filed under the name Mytilus galloprovincialis (Mediterranean mussel). Lineage: Eukaryota; Metazoa; Mollusca; Bivalvia; Mytilida; Mytilidae. The record is from RNAcentral.